Molecule: ribosomal RNA, 497 nt
Filed under: uncultured bacterium
Lineage: Bacteria
Description: partial 16S ribosomal RNA
Rfam family: Bacterial small subunit ribosomal RNA
Source: RNAcentral
GAUGAACGCUGGCGGCGUGCCUAAUACAUGCAAGUCGAGCGAACAGACGAGGAGCUUGCUCCUCUGACGUUAGCGGCGGACGGGUGAGUAACACGUGGAUAACCUACCUAUAAGACUGGGAUAACUUCGGGAAACCGGAGCUAAUACCGGAUAAUAUAUUGAACCGCAUGGUUCAAUAGUGAAAGACGGUUUUGCUGUCACUUAUAGAUGGAUCCGCGCCGCAUUAGCUAGUUGGUAAGGUAACGGCUUACCAAGGCAACGAUGCGUAGCCGACCUGAGAGGGUGAUAGGCCACACUGGAACUGAGACACGGUCCAGACUCCUACGGGAGGCAGCAGUAGGGAAUCUUCCGCAAUGGGCGAAAGCCUGACGGAGCAACGCCGCGUGAGAGAUGAAGGUCUUCGGAUCGUAAAACUCUGUUAUUAGGGAAGAACAAAUGUGUAAGUAACUAUGCACGUCUUGACGGUACCUAAUCAGAAAGCCACGGCUAACUACGUG